UGUGCAACAUUUCCAGAAAUGUACCAGAGUUGUUCGUGAUCAUAACCCCAAAUCAUUGGUACCUCGAUGUUUAGAGGGGAAACAGCAUUGGCUGGGCAAGCUGGGGCAGGGAACGUGAUGAACAGUGGGCUGGAAUAAGUUAACUGGAGGAGGGGAGGCGUCUCAGGAAGGGAGAAUAGCAUGAACAGCAGCAUAGACGUGAGAAUAACCAUCUGGAGUGAUGAACCUAUGCUGAGUAGAAAGUUCCAGAAGGCUGCAUAAGGGAGGUGUGUGAACAGCAGAAGCAGGACAAACCUGAGAUGGGAGAAGAUGGCUAAACUGAAGCAACUUGGAGCUAGAAGAUAGGCUGCAUCUGCUCAGUUCACCUGCGCAGACCAAAAACAGUGCACGCUGUAGGCGGCCCAGUCCAGCUGAAUUUCAUCAGAUGGGCAUGUGUUUCCUUCCCCAACUGCUGGCCUCAGCUUCUCAGAAGAAAGGACAAAGGACAGAACUGCUGCUGAGCCAAGGAAUCAGAGCAGAAUCCCAGCACACUGGCUCCAGGAGAGCCGGACGUCCCCUAGGCUGCCCACCAACCAGGAUGAAAAUCGAGACAUCAGAGCCUCUGUCAUUUAUAUGGUCCCCUAGCAGUGCCCUGGGCCUGAAUCCUACAAAGCUGGUCCUUCAGCUGGGAGCCAUAUUGCUUCAAUUUCAUGCUCCAUCACAAGAGUAAGUCGACUGCUGAGUUGUAACGUAUGAACUUCAGCCAGAAAUUCACCCUCCCACUUCUGAGUAUAAUAGCAGUCAGUCCCUAGGAGUGAAAUGUGCUCCUUUUUUGGGUCAACAGUAGAGCAAGCCAGAAUUAACGCAGCCCUUUUAGAAGUCAUCUUGCUAAUGACAUCAGGAAAGGUUGAAGCAUUUGGCAAGUAAUCGUAUAUUAUUGCUUUACAUUAUUAUGUAACUUUUCCUUAUGUGUUUCUUCUUGCUUUUAAAAAAAUUAGAUCUUAAGGUCUUCGAUAAUAGUGAUUUUAAAAAA
RNAcentral lists this long non-coding RNA (1012 nucleotides) under Homo sapiens (human). Its description in RNAcentral is "HSALNT0394709". Lineage: Eukaryota; Metazoa; Chordata; Mammalia; Primates; Hominidae. The record is from RNAcentral.